GGUCAAUCAUGGUAGCCAUUGACAUACCUAUCGCUGCCGGUAAAGAAGACGACAAUCUUGGUGGUUGUAAUAGGUGUUUGUUCCUGUGUUCCGUGGGUUUAGUGUCAGUGCUUCGCCGCCUUUUGGGUAGUUCUUCGGGGAUCUCUUUCUUGGGUGGUUUGGUGUGUUGUUUUCUUUCGGGUAACCAUCUGAGAAAAUCCCUUCUACACACCCAUGUUUCUUUCGAAACUUCCAUUGAUAGCUUCGGUUCACACAUCAUUAGUAACAAACACUCUGGUAAAACGGAUUCUUUUUCUUCGUUUUCAGGCUCUUUGGGUUGUUCAAUUUGCUUCUCUGCUUCAAUUUGUUCGUCUUCUUGUUGGGGCGUUGUCGAAUUCAUUUCUACUUUACCCAGCAUUAGUAUUUCUUCAAUCUCUUUCAUUACGGUUAACUUGAAUCGUUCUUCUUCUUCUUCCAAUGCAGCUUCUUCAGUUACUAGUUCUAGUUCUUCCUCAUCAAUUUUCAUACUUCGUCUAUUCGAGCUCUCUGAUAACGAUAAACGAGGCGAAAUGGUCAGUUUUUC
This 562-nucleotide unclassified non-coding RNA is filed under the name Hevea brasiliensis (rubber tree). Lineage: Eukaryota; Viridiplantae; Streptophyta; Magnoliopsida; Malpighiales; Euphorbiaceae. The record is from RNAcentral.